Molecule: ribosomal RNA, 475 nt
Filed under: uncultured Magnetococcus sp.
Lineage: Bacteria; Pseudomonadati; Pseudomonadota; Magnetococcia; Magnetococcales; Magnetococcaceae
Description: bacterial SSU rRNA
Rfam family: Bacterial small subunit ribosomal RNA
Source: RNAcentral
AAAGGUGCUGGCGAGUGGCGAACGGGUGCGUAACGCGUGGAUACCUGACUCGUAGUGGGGGACAACAGUUGGAAACGGCUGCUAAUACCGCAUGAGUCCUAAGGGAGAAAGGCCGAGAGGUCGCUAUGGGAGGGGUCCGCGUCGGAUUAGCUAGUUGGUGAGGUAAAGGCUCACCAAGGCGAUGAUCUGUAGCUGGUCUGAGAGGAUGACCAGCCACACUGGGACUGAGAUACGGCCCAGACUCCUACGGGAGGCAGCAGUGGGGAAUAUUGCGCAAUGGGGGAAACCCUGACGCAGCGAUACCGUGUGGGUGAAGAAGGCCUUCGGGUUGUAAAGCCCUUUUAGUGUGGACGAUAGUGACGGUACACACAGAAAAAGCUCCGGCUAACUCCGUGCCAGCAGCCGCGGUAAUACGGAGGGGGCGAGCGUUGUUCGGAAUCACUGGGCGUAAAGGGCGCGUAGGCGGAUUGACAAG